Molecule: long non-coding RNA, 2026 nt
Organism: Engraulis encrasicolus (European anchovy)
Lineage: Eukaryota; Metazoa; Chordata; Actinopteri; Clupeiformes; Engraulidae
Exons: 5
Source: RefSeq, a predicted model, not a curated record
ACUUCAGAGAGGCCAAAGAGGAGAAUCAUCAUUCGCAGACCGAGAGAUGAUGACCCAUUCCUGAAGUUGGACGCCAGAAUGCAGGAAGGUGCUGUUUAAGAGCCUAGGCGGUGGAAGAAGCACUUGCAGGUAUGCUACCGACCAGGCUCCUCAACAUCAAUCCGAGACGGAAGAUGAACCGGGAUGAAGCAGUUAGAUUGAGACAAGGCGGCCGGAAACUUUGAUGACCUCAAUGACACUGGCUAGGUGAAGGACAUCAAGAAAAUGGCAUCCGGUCACCAGACAUCAGCUCAUAAGCCACAACGUCAUCAACCAUUUUGCGCCAAAAAUGAAGCCGUUCACAUACCAUGGCAUCCUAAGCAGGCAGCACCACACUACUGUGCAACAGUGAGAGAGAGCGGGCAAGGACAAGUAAAACGGACCUACACUACAGCAAGACUUUGACACUUCUCCACGUGAGAGGCAGCCAUCGCCCCCACCGUGGAGCAGUGUGUACCCAGUACCCCCAAAAGAGGAGAUGAUCCGACGCCAUCACAGCCGAUUUCCAAAAUUGUACACCAAACUCUGUAUGGGCGUGUGUGUGUGUGUGUGUGUGAGAUAUUGUAAAACUUUUCAGUCCUUCUUCUAUACUAUACAGUGUAUAAAUAUGCAUGUGAAAACCUAAAUAUGCAUUAAAAACCAUUACUGAGGUUAAGAAAUGCAUUAUAACAAAUACAUCUGAUUCAGGUGUACUGUACAUUGAAAUGUCUUUAUUUGCCACAAAUACAUCACAUCCUGGAAACCUGUACAAUGUGUGGAUUCAAAGGUCUGCCAGAUCUUUGUGAUGGCACAGGAUUGCAGUGGAACCCAAACAUAGCCUAGGAGCUCCCACGCCAUCUCACCAACUGCCGAUAUGCAGUAUGCCUGAAUUUCCUGUACAGCAAAGAAAUGUAGAGAUUGUGCCUUCAUCGAGAAUAGGUCAUUUGGAAUCACAACAAUUAUUCAAUUUACUUUGUGCGUGUGGUGUAGCUAUUGCUGUUAUUAUGUUACUACUAGUGACCCAUUUAGUUGAGCUUAAUAGUCUACAUGACAUCUCUGCACUUGUGUUACCACUAUUGGGAUUGGCUGCUCCCUAAAUGAAAAUGAGAAAAACUUGCCCGGAUGAAAUGUUAUGAACUGUGUGCGUUGUGCUGCUUGCUGAAGUAACAUGACACCCACAUCACCUUCCAGAAAUAAAGUGUAUACAGGCUACCUAACCAGAGUCCUAGAGACCUGUUGCUGCUGUGUGAUGAAAUCCAGGCAAAGACCCACCUGCUUUGGCAAUUGCUGCAACAUGUAAAAAAGGUAGACAGAUUAGGCCCCUGUAGAUAUGGCAUGUGUAGAUGGAUUCACUUAAUUCUUUAACCACUUAAAUGGCUUGGGUCAGACAAGCUGGGCUGCACACUGACCUCUUCCAUGUUGCCCAUGUGGUUUCGUUGGCUGUGUGUGACCACCUCCGUACAGGGGCAGAUUUAUUUAUUUAUUAUUUAUUUAUUUAUUUAUUAAAAUGUCUGCACCUUUUUAUUAAAUGUAUUGCAUUGCACUGGUAUCACAUUGCAUUAAAUGUACUAGCCAAGUGACACAAACAGAGCAGGUAAAUACAGUCUUGAUCUGUACCAUUUAUGUCACUUCUUAAAGAUUCAAUUAUUCAACUCUAUAUUCGAAGAGGCCGGUAUUGCGCUACCAUUUUCCAUGAACCAGUCAACUUCUGGGAGUCAUUGCAGUACUUUGAGAAAGUGAUCUUACUUUCUAGCCUAAUCAUUCAUUGUGCUUGUGUCAGUAUUGUAGUGUCAUUGGUUAUUUACAGUGUGUCGACGCCAUCUACUGGAUACUCCACGCACGGUUCAUUUUCUAUCCACUUAAUCAUUUCAUUCCAAAGCACAGAGUGAGCUCUUUGAUGCAAUGUAGGCUAAAUUCACCCAGAGCUCUAGUUGUGUAUACCCGUUGGAUCGCUGAAUACAUAGCCUACAUUAAAUCCAUAUUUCAGCCUCCGGUAUCAAGUCAACUG